ACGCAAACCCAUCACAGUGCAGAGAACAACUGAUCAUCUACAACAGCUACAUCUACAACACAUAUACCUAGGGCUCAGGGAACAUCAAGGAAGGAGAGGAGGCAGACAGCUAAACAAUCUGUGGGACAGUCUCCUAGAAGUGACAGGGAGGCUUCACUCAUAAUACUUCAACAAUAUGGCUGCCUGAGCAAGUACAGCAAACAACAGAUAUGUUAACCUGAAGAGAGGAAACUCGUGGAGCCCAACCCGGAAAUGGGCAACUAAGGGAUGCUGAGAGCAGAGAAAGAGUCUUCCCCUGGAUGAGCUCCCUAGUGGUCAGCCUUGAAAUAAUAUACAUACAAGCAACACUAAACUGAAUCAGCAGACGUUUGGAAUCCUAACUCUCCAGGUGGCUUGUUCAUCCCAGGGAACGCUAACUGUAGGAAGUCCAGACAUGCUGAGAGUGCCACACUGGAAAAGUCACACACAAAGGCCAGAGACACUUCCACCUCAUCCCCAGUUGGAGUCCAUCACAGAAGGAAAUCAGGGUAGACACUCAAACCAGGAACCUGGGUGGAGGAAUGCUGCUUACUGGCUUCUUCUCCAUGGCUUGCUUGCUCAACUACCUUUUCAUACAAUCCAAAACACCCUGCCAAGGGGUGGCAUCACCCACAGUGGGCUGGACCCUCCCAUGUGAACCAUGAAUCAAGAAACAGAAAUCCACAAAGAUACCCCCACAACAGACUGCUGGCAAUGGUCGAGAGACAUCCCGAACUGACCUACUCUGGUAAUGGGAUGGCCAAACACCCUAAUUGUCAUGCUAGAAACCUCAUCCAACUAUUGAGGGAUCUGGAUGCAGAGAUCCAUGACUAGGCCCCGGGUGGAUCUCUGGGAGUCCAAUUAGCGAGAAUGAGGAGGGUUUAUAUGAGCGAGAAUUGUUGAGACCAAGGUUGGAUAAAGCACAGGGAUAAAUAGCCAAACGAACGGAAACACAUGAAAUAUGAACCAAUGGCUGAGGAGUCACCAACUGGAUCAGGCCCUCUGAGUGGGUGAGACAGUUGAUUGGUCUGAUCUGUUUGGGAGGCAUCCAGGCAGUGGGACCCAGUCCUGUGCUCAUUGCAUGAGUCGGCUCUUUGAAACCUGGGGCCUAUGCAGGGUUGCUUGGCUCGGCCUGAGAGGAGGGGACUGGACCUACCUGGACUGAGUCUACCAGGUUGAUCUCAGUCUGUGGGGAAGGCUUUGCCCUGGAGGAGAUGGUAAUU
Molecule: long non-coding RNA, 1241 nt
Organism: Peromyscus eremicus (cactus mouse)
Lineage: Eukaryota; Metazoa; Chordata; Mammalia; Rodentia; Cricetidae
Exons: 3
Source: RefSeq, a predicted model, not a curated record